Molecule: non-coding RNA, 135 nt
Organism: Brachypodium distachyon (stiff brome)
Lineage: Eukaryota; Viridiplantae; Streptophyta; Magnoliopsida; Poales; Poaceae
Source: Rfam
AUUGUACUUCCUCCGUCCAACAAAGAUGUCUCAAUUUUGACUAAAUUUGAAUGCAUCUAUACACUAAGUCAUGUCUAGAUACAUUCAAAUUUUGACAAACUUGAGACAUUUUUUGUUGGACGGAAGCAGUACAUG